UGGGGAUGACGUCAAGUCAUCAUGGCCCUUACGGCCAGGGCUACACACGUGCUACAAUGGUCGGUACAAAGGGUUGCCAAGCCGCGAGGUGGAGCUAAUACCCAUAAAACCGAUCGUAGUCCGGAUCGCAGUCUGCAACUCGACUGCGUGAAGUCGGAAUCGCUAGUAAUCGUGAAUCAGAAUGUCACGGUGAAUACGUUCCCGGGCCUU
Molecule: ribosomal RNA, 210 nt
Filed under: uncultured Pseudomonas sp.
Lineage: Bacteria; Pseudomonadati; Pseudomonadota; Gammaproteobacteria; Pseudomonadales; Pseudomonadaceae
Description: partial 16S ribosomal RNA
Rfam family: Bacterial small subunit ribosomal RNA
Source: RNAcentral